UAAUCCCUGCGGCUCUCGAAUCAAUACGCUUCUAGUUUAAACCAACAUGAAGACUACGGGAAACUAACUUCGGCUGUGGCGUGUAGGCCUCCCUUGCAGGAGGAAACCCAGGAGCAGACGAGUGUUGCCCACCUGCGAUUAGCAGGUUUAAAUCAAGCGUAAAAAACGGUUCAUGCGGGGCAAGC
This 185-nucleotide non-coding RNA is filed under the name Bacillota bacterium. RNAcentral describes it as "6S RNA". It matches the Rfam family "6S / SsrS RNA". From Rfam's summary of the family: E. coli 6S RNA was the first non coding RNA to be sequenced, but its function was unknown until recently. It consists of 184 nucleotides that fold into an extended hairpin structure with a large single-stranded internal bulge. The record is from RNAcentral. Lineage: Bacteria; Bacillati; Bacillota.